Molecule: RNA transcript, 5049 nt
Organism: Strigops habroptila (Kakapo)
Lineage: Eukaryota; Metazoa; Chordata; Aves; Psittaciformes; Psittacidae
Gene name: low density lipoprotein receptor adapter protein 1-like
Exons: 7
Source: RefSeq, a predicted model, not a curated record
CCUGUUGCGCUCCCCUGGCUGCCCGCCUCUUGCUCCACUUUUGAAUUGAGGCCACCCGCACGGGUGGGCUGGUGGGACAGGCGGUGCUGGUGGUGCUGGAACACGCUGUGCCUCAUGGACACCCUCUGGAGGCCUUGGCUUCCUUGAAACGCUGUGUUUGGUCCACUGCAUCGUGGGCACGUGUGGGGAGUGCAGCAGGCCUGUAUUAUCCCUCACUGCAGGCUGGCUGCCGUGCUGCCUGUGGCACAGCCACAUCUGAGGCUGAUCCCUCACACCCAGCGGGAAGGCUGUGCUUGGGCUUUCCCAGUCACAGCUGCCCAAAGGCUCUGUUGGAGCAGCAGAGCUCACUCUGUCAGCCCUGGCACAUGUGGGCUGUUCUCAGAGUUUGCAGGGAAACACUGCUUGUGUGCCCUGGCUAGAGGUCCCUGAUGCCUGCAUGGUACCAGGCAGGUUCCCUGGCAGUUGUCAUCUGUGCAGGAGUAUGCUGAGACCACCUAAGGUCUCCUGAUUUCCCUGUGGGUUCAGGUUAUUCCAGGUAUGAGUCAGAGCCUUCUGCAAGUGUGCCAGUAGUGUUCAGGGAGCUAAUCCCAGGAAAGAGAUGAAAAAUAACCCUGCGAAGUGUUAGUUUAGUGUGAACAGUAGGUACCUGGGCAAUUCCUAGGGAAGUAUAGGAACCUGGUGUUUGCAGCAGAGCAUGUAACUUCUGUGCUCCUGUUCCUUCCCUCUGUGAGCUGAUCCCCAAGAAGAGAGAGACUGUGACUCCCUGUGGCUUAGCCCUUCUGCAUAUGUCCUCUCUUGCCAUCCUUGUGCUCUUUGGGAUUUGAAGAAAGUAAGUGUGUGCUAACAUCUGCUCCAGCUCUCCUUGAAAAUUAUCACCAGGAAGUGCUUGGCACGAGAAUUGUUCCUUUGUGUGAAGCUUUUGCCUUCGAUCAGGGUGAACUUUCUGUUGAAGCCAAUGGCUUUGUCUUGUGGGAGCAGAGGUCGAAUGGAUGCUUCUGCAGUGCUUGUUUUGUGUGUUCUCUGCCAACAGCAGUAGUGUCAGGAUUGGCAUAAGGUCAGGACUGCUUCUCCUACCAGCACAUCUGCCAUAUGGCAGAACAUGCUGAUGGUGAUACGGACUGGUUUCUGAAGGAAGCUGGAGAUGCUGAGGACUGUCCCUAGGGAAUCUUUUUUGAGUGAACAGACACUCUUCCAAAUUUUUUUUUUUUUUUUUUUUUUGACUACAGCAAUGGGGUUUGAAAAGAGAGGACACAGGCAACAGAAGCCAGUGCCCCUUUAAUUCUGUGACCUGCAAAGUAAUGCACAGGGGAGCUCUCUUCCCUGUGUGCACUGCAGUUCAUACAUAAAAUGUGUAUUCCUAGAAGCUAAUUUGCAUCUUUGAAACACCAGUCUGAGCUCUUCCUUAACACAAAAAUCUUUGUGGUGCAGUUGCUUCCCGGUCACCUCAGCUUGGAUUGUGAGAGCUGGACAAGGUACCCCUACCCCACAGCCUGCUGCCGCAAGUGAUAACUGCCAGAGGGUUUGGCUUUGGCCACACUGGGACGACGUGGGGAUUUUGAUCUGUCCAAGUGUGGCAGCAAAUGCUGCUGUUCCUGAGGUGUGCCAGCAGCUUAGGUGGGUGAGAUGAAUGCAAUACAGAGAACACCCUGCUUGUAGUGAAAUAGAUGAGACCCAGGAACACAAGGAUUUUGCAGGUGGUAGUGAACGCUGCAACAUCUGAAGCCCUAUGCAGAUAUGCAGGAGUUUACUAUCUGUGCUGGCAGAACCUGUACCUGCAGGGUUGGAGGACUAAAGCUUUGAGGGUGAACUGUCCUCUCAUUCUAUUCCUCUUCCAAGAAUGUCACAGAGCCAGGAGGGUGUCCUGCUGAGUGCAGGUAGCAGUGCUGCUGCUGGGAGCAAUGAAGCUGCAACAAAGCGGGGUGGCUCUGCUGGGACUAGCCAUGGGGCUACUGGUACUUGGUUUCUAAGGCAUUUUGUCUUCGCAGAGCUUCCUGAGAGCUGGGCUGAUAUGCAGGAGCCGCUGCUUGAGGGCAUGUGCUUCACGCUUAAGUAUCUUGGCAUGACGCUGGUAGAAAAACCCAAAGGAGAAGACAUGGCUGCUGCUGCCAUCCGCAGGAUCGUGGCCACGGCACGGGCAGGCGCUCGCAAGUUCCAGAAGGUGAUUCUGACAGUGUCUCCGAGAGGCAUCUCACUGCAGGAUGCAGACACAAAGGAGAUGGUUGAGAACAUCUCCAUCUACAGGAUCUCCUACUGCACAACAGACAAGCUGCAGAACAAAGUCUUUGCUUAUGUUGCCCAGAGCCAGGAGAGCGGGGCACUGGAGUGCCAUGCCUUCCUCUCACCCAAGAAGAAGAUUGCUCAGGCUGUGACUCUGACUGUGGCCCAGGCCUUCCAGAUGGCACUGGAUCUCUGGGAAGCAGCACAUGCAGGCUCUAGGCAGGAACAGCCCCUUCACCCUUCAUGUGUCUUGGAGAGCAGUGAGCCCAGCAGACCAAGUGAGCCAGCCCCCCCGGGGAGCCCUCCCUUCAGACACCAGUUUGGGGACCCUGUUGAUGUCUGCACAGCCUCCCCCACACACGGUGGCCUGACAUGAAGAAGGGCGCUAUGCUCUGUCUGGCUCACAAAGCAGGCACAAUUCCUCAGGUGGCCUUUGCUCCAGGAGCUUUCCUGACAGACCCAGCAUUGCUGCAGCCUUCAGCCCUGCUCUGCUGGCACUGUCAAACAGCAAACGGGGAUCUGCUCUGCACAUGGUGCCAUGGCUAGGGGUGAGACACUGUCUCUGAAGCAGAGGACCCUUUGGUCAUCAUCUUGCCAGCCUGGGCUAAGGCUCCGCCCUGCCCAUUUGCACUACACCUACUGCAUGUCCAGAGCCAGUCAGAGCAUUGCCAGUGUUGCCGGUCUCACUGUGUCCCUGCCCAGGAGCCUCUGGAUGCUUGGUCUUUGGCUUCCUGCUUCCAGUGCUAGCCCAGCCUGGCAGUGCUUGGGAUCAUACUUGCUUACAGCCUGGGUGAUCCUCUGCCUGGCUCUCCAGCUGCAAGAUGUGCUCACCCCACUACUGUCUGGGCAAAGGUGCCCUUUAUCUGUGCCAUGCCUGGUGGGUGACUGUGGCUUGUGAAGGGACCAGGGACUGCUCUGCUCCUCCAGAAUAGGCUCUGGGUGGACCAGCCUCACUCCUAGCAGCGAUCUGUCCAGGCAGUGAGGUGUCAUGGUGGGUUUUUUUGGUUUGUUUGUUUGCCAGGAGGAGGAAGAGGAGGAAGAAGAUGAUAACGUCUUUAAAACCUUAUCUGGGUAAGUGGUGAGCUGCCGCUUGUGUUCAGGCAUCUCACUGGUAAACCCUGUCUUGUUUCCUUCUCUGUGCCCGUGCAGGGGGAGCUUCUGGGGCCAUGGGCAUGGUGGGAGCAUAGAGGAAAUUGCAUGGGGGCAAUGGGGAGAUCCUGCUGCUUUCUCUGUCAGCUGAACAGGGGGCUGGGAUGUGGAGGGGCAGAUCUUGCAGCUCAGCUUUUGCAGUGGAGCUGUGGGGGACAGAUGCUGACCCUCAGGAUGUACCCAGAGGUGUUACUUGUUCUGUUUCUGCCAUUCUUUGCAGAGGCCAGCCUGUCCAGACAUGCUUCUCUAGUGGGACUAGGAGGGGUGUCCCCCUCCUCCCAUUGAUUUCCCCUGGGGCUUGGUCCAGGAUGGAGGCCUGGUCAUGCUGACUUCUGUGUGGGCUAGGGCAUGGAGCUGAGCUUGCUGGUGUCUGUCCCUUGUUUGGGAGGAGCCGGUGGUACCAGUCCAGCAGUGGAGGAUUAACCUGUAGGUCUAAGCAACCCAAUCUAGUCGAAGAUGUCCCUGCUUAUUGCAGGGGGGUUGGACUAGCUGAACUUUGAAGGUCCCUUCCAACCCAAACUAUUCUGUGUGAUUCUGUCUUUGCAGAAGUGCCUGUGGUGGUGGGUGCGAGAGGCCUCUUCCAUUGUGGCUGUUCUCUGUGGCACCACAGGGCUGAGCUGGUGUCAGCCAGGAACCACUGUGUGCACAGACUAAGCUUUGUAUGUGGCUGUGUGAAGUGGCAGCCCGUUAUAUGUGGGAGCUCCUGGUGGGAAGGAGAUGUGGCUUUGCAGCCUCAGGACAGGCUGGCCUGGGGAAAGGGUUUGGUAGCAAGUGGGUGAGGACCUUUUUUGCUCCGAGUGCUUGGUACUGCUGCGCCAUGCCUGUGUUGUCAGGGUCAUGAGCAUGCUGUGUCUCUCAGCAGGCCUUGCUUGGGGUAUGAUGGGUGCUCUCUUCUCUUCCAAAGCAGCAUGGAGGAGCUGGGGAGGGGAGCUCACAGUCCAGCAGAGUCAGCACCUCUUGUGCCCAGAGUGAGCUCUCCUACUGCACAGCUACUGUGCUACCGUUUGGGGCAACCCCCAGACAGCUGGAAGGGGCUGGCAAGGGUUGGAGACCUCCCCACAGGUGACCCCAGGACUGCUGGCCCCAAAACUCCCCUGGGCUAAGCCAAAUCUCUGCAACCAUGGACCAGCCACUCAGGAUUCACCCUGUGCCUGCUUCUGGGCCAGACAGUGCCUGCUCCUGCCACUGCCCACCAGGCGUGGGGUCUGCUGGCACCAUUGCCAUGCAGUGCACAGACUGUGACACCCGCUCCUUGUCCUGCUUUCUGCCUGCAUGAACUGCCUCAAGCUGCAGCUGUUCCCAGCUCAGGCUGGUGGACCAAUGCUUCUCGCUCUGCCUGCUCCCAGUGCAUGCAGAGCCACCCCAAGUGCUCUGAGCCUGCAGGAUGCAGCCAGUGUGCCUUGGAUUGCACUGUGUCUGACCUGCCUUGCUUGUUUCUCCCACCUUGCUCCUCGUGGUGGCAGCUGGGGACCAGCUGAAGCUGAGCAGCCCCCCUGGAGGUGGUGGAGGAUUUGCUCAGCAUGCAUGACCCUCAGGGAGCAAUAGCUCUCUGCCUGGAGGAGUGAAUGAGGAAGGCCUUGCCCCUGCCGUUCAGCCCCGCACCGUCUCACGAGUGAAAUGAGCUGGUUUUUACCGGAAAGCUAUGCCCUUAUAGGGAAUAAAAUGAAUUUUUUACUGUUGUCA